AAUGGAACGUUUGUAUAACGGAAGUAGGAAUACGUUGUACAGUUCGUAUUUCCGGUUGCGGAUCACGAGCCUGAGACGCGAGUGUUAGCGGUUUGGGCUUCCAGUAGGCGUUCAAGUCAAAAACCUGGGCACUGUGGCUACGUCUGAUUGAUUAAAAUGAACACACAGCUUGGAUUUCAGCAGCAACAUCAUCAUGUUUUCCACAGACAACCAGAGGGGCUGUCAGUGUUUCAUGAAGUUGUUCGACCUGAGGGAUCCACAGAUCGUUUAUUUGUCAAUAUUCCGGAGAAGUCCUGAAGAAAGCUAAGGAGCACAGCAGGCACAUCAACGCCAUCCAGACGUCUGUAGACAUCACCAUGUUCAUCAGUGCUUCAAAGAACAACACCACCAAGGUUCUUCCAAGCUGUGAACGAGGAGCAGUUUGACAGGAGUCAAAGGUCAUUUUGGUCCCAUCAACUGUGUGGCUUUCCACCCUGACGGCAAGAAAUAGAGGAACAAUGGAGGAGAAGGCCUGUGAACACAGCAGCUUGGACUCUGCCAGGUAGAGUGAAUGAGCAACUUUGUUUGAAGUAGAUCACUUGUUUGCUGGACUUGUGAGUGUUUUACUGAAUUGUGUAAUUGCUUGAGGAAAGUGUUCAUUCAAGCUCAUUCUAUUCAUUGUGCCUUAAUGCUAUUGUCAGGUACUUAACAGUGUCACUUUUUGGCAACACUUAGUCAUUUUUUUGGCCAUUGCACUUUGAUUGUGAGCUGUAUGUGACUGUAAACCUUACAGAAUAAAGAAAAUGGUUGAAAACACU
Long non-coding RNA from Cynoglossus semilaevis (tongue sole), 797 nucleotides. RefSeq lists it as uncharacterized. The transcript has 5 exons. NCBI's taxonomy places the organism in Eukaryota, Metazoa, Chordata, Actinopteri, Pleuronectiformes, Cynoglossidae. The record is from RefSeq and is a predicted model, not a curated record.